RNAcentral lists this ribosomal RNA (253 nucleotides) under uncultured bacterium. RNAcentral describes it as "partial 16S ribosomal RNA". It matches the Rfam family "Bacterial small subunit ribosomal RNA", at positions 524 to 776 of the family's 1533-position model. The record is from RNAcentral.
UACGUAGGCAGCAAGCGUUGUUCGGAGUUACUGGGCGUAAAGAGUGCGUAGGCGGUCCUGUAAGUUUGGUGUGAAAUCUCCCGGCUCAACUGGGAGGGUGCGCCGAAGACUGCAGGGCUUGAGUAUGGGAGAGGUAAGCGGAAUUCCUGGUGUAGCGGUGAAAUGCGUAGAUAUCAGGAGGAACACCGGUGGCGAAGGCGGGUCUCUGGGCAGUAACUGACGCUGAGGAGCGAAAGCAUGGGGAGCGAACAGG